Molecule: non-coding RNA, 72 nt
Organism: Phrynosoma platyrhinos (Desert horned lizard)
Lineage: Eukaryota; Metazoa; Chordata; Lepidosauria; Squamata; Phrynosomatidae
Source: the annotation of a GenBank genome assembly
GCCAGCGUGGCAUAGUGGUUUGAAGGUUGGACUACGACUCCGGGGACCAGAGUUCGAAUCUCGGCUUGGAUG